Pteronotus mesoamericanus is the source of this 1987-nucleotide long non-coding RNA. RefSeq lists it as uncharacterized. The record is from RefSeq and is a predicted model, not a curated record. NCBI's taxonomy places the organism in Eukaryota, Metazoa, Chordata, Mammalia, Chiroptera, Mormoopidae. The transcript has 4 exons.
CUACGCACUUCUUAGGUACUCAAAUGAUGCCCUAGAGCCCAAGGCCUAGGGCGGUGCCCUGUUUGCCACUGCCACCCUGUCCAGGUUUUUAAGCCGCCUAGGACAUGGUGAGGGGGGAGUAGUUUUCCUUGCGGUGUCCUGCAGAAAAUUUCCUUGAGGUUCCACGGGUGCCUCGGGAAACUGGAAACGCAAGAUUCCAGAUGCUGGACCUCCAAGCCGUGCGGUGGUCCAAGGGGCAGGGCGUAACCUGGGUGCAACCUAAAUGGCUGAACUCUGACACACACAGCCACCGGCUCCCCGGGGCUGGUUGGGGGCUUGGCGCCAACGACACCCACGGGCCAGAACUCUGGGGACCACAGCAGACGCACCCUCCCAGCCCAGCGCCCCCGCGAGCUCGCCAGAGCACUGCAUUCUCCGAUAUCUUCAGGCUGUUGUUCUUUAAUCACUGUGACUGGACAACACAAAUAUCUGAAGAUUUUUUCUGUGCCUCAGGAUGAAAAAAGUCCUCAAAGGGAAAUGUUUUGCCGAAGUGGAAGAGGUGAAACAAAAAUAGCAGAAGCACUAAAAGGCAUCAAAGUCACCAAAUUCAAAAACUUUUGAGCAGUGGAAAAAAACACCUUAGUAGGUAUAUUGCAUCAAAUGGACAGUACUUUGAAGGUGACUCCAGUUUAAACAUGUUGCUGGUUUGGUUUAAAGGUGAACAUCUGUGCAAGGCAGCAACUUGAAUAGGGAAGACAACGGAUACAUUUUUCUUGACUUGGUGAGAUGGCAGAUGAGUUAAAGGAAGAAAAGAGAGAGAAAAUGGACACGGGAGAAUGUGACUUUGGGGGAACCAUUUUCCCCAGAAAGGGGACGUUUUAACCUCUACAGCUUGGAACAGAGCAUUCCAAAACAGCUGGAAAGUCCUUGAUAACUUCUAUAGAUGAAGUAAAUUAAAACCUUCUCCUGCCCCAUGGGUCAAAUCCUGCUGUUCAUGAAUAAUCUUCAGGUUGCUGUCCAGCUGUCUCCAGAUGAAUGAGUCUCCCAAAGACUUGACAAUUUGGCCUGAGAAGAUGCGCCACGCUGAAAGUUCCAGUUGUCCCUGUAAGGGACUGGGUUUUUUGUUUUUUGUUUUGUUUUGGGGGUUUUUUUGUUGGUUUUUUUUUGCCUCAAAGAUUCUAGGCCAGAAGUGUAGAAGAGCCCAAGAAUGUUUCUGCUAGCAGCUUUUACUAUAAUUCAUACCCCCACUUUUUAGUCAAAGAAAUUCUAUCCCUCAGGUCCACCCAGGAAGAAAACAUCUUAGGAUACACAGCACAGAGUCCUAUGCUUCACAUCAGAAAAGCCAUCUUCACUCUGGGAAGAAUCUAUGGUGUCUCUCCACAAUGUCAAUAAGCUCAUAUCACUGAUACGCAAUAAGAGGGGUACCAUAGCAGGAAGGCAGUGCCUUACUUGCUCUCUUGUUACUGUGAGAGGUUUCUUAGUUCAAGGAACUGAGCCUACUGCUGGGAGGCAUUUCAGGGAAAAGGGAGCCAUUGUCCCCAACAGGAUGCACAUUUUAAGAGCAUGUCUCUUCAUCAGCCUAACAUAGGCUGGCUUCUCUGCUUGUGGAUCAACAAAGUCCUUCUCAACAAAUGUCAAAUGUCUUUGUGUUUUAAAAUAUCCCCAAGAACAAAUAUUACUGAGGUAGAUAAUUAUAACGUAGGCAUUAUUUUACCCAGCCUAAUUCAAUAAAUAUCAACUGAGUGGCUGACUUGAAAGAAACGAUGCCACAUUCUACUGGAAAACUAAUGCAAGACCCUGGUCCCUGACCUCUAGGAGCUUAUCAUCUAGUAGUCAGGGACCCAAGGCAUGUCAGCUAUGGGCUCUGUCACACCAAAUGUUUCCUAUAGAGGGGAACCUAUUGCUCCCUGCUCUGAGAGAAAGCACCAAGCUCUUCCAUGUCCAGGAAUGGCCACUGAUUGGUCCAAGACCAGGGGACUAGCCCAAGGGUCACCCCUACCUCCAUAGG